Molecule: unclassified non-coding RNA, 327 nt
Filed under: Hevea brasiliensis (rubber tree)
Lineage: Eukaryota; Viridiplantae; Streptophyta; Magnoliopsida; Malpighiales; Euphorbiaceae
Source: RNAcentral
UCAGUGCGGGCACAGCCAACGGAUUGGCGUAUUGCGUGGUGCUCGCUUCCGCGGCGACACCGUAGCUGUAAUCCUUCUCCCUGGUGCCGGCGGCAAGCGCGGUGUCCGUGCCGAUGAAUCCACUGCCGCCGAUGCCGGUGCCGUUCGAGAAUUGGGGAUUGGUGUCAAACCCGCCGCGCAGACGAAGCGACGCAACGAAAUCGUCCUCGGCAUGUGCAGUGCUUGCAACAAGACCGAUGACGCCAGCCCACACCACCAAUCUCAGCACGAUGUUCACCCCGCAAAAAUAUCGCGUGGGUGUGAUUACCGGCCGGUGUGGUUAGCGAC